CUCACUUUCCCCUGUGUGGGAAACUUCCUUGGAGGCAGCUCUUAUUAAUAACAACUAUCUGUCUCUCCUGGAGGGUUGCUGGGAAGCUGGCCUUCUGCUGUGAGCUUCCUAUUUACAUCCUGGUAUGACUGUGAUACGAACCCAGAAGGAAGAGACCCUUACUGCCGCCAUGUGACUAGAAAAGGGAGUCAAGGCCAAAGAUGCACCCCAAGUGCCCCCGAUCUGCCUUCUAAGGCCUUUAUCCUUAUCUUCUGGGACACAGAGUAGGUGUGGCACGUGGGUGGGGCGUUACGGCAUUCAUUUGUCAGGGAUGAUAACUUGCAGGGGCCAUGUCUAGAUGCUUCUGGAAAGGGGAAAGCGAAUAUACUGGCACCCUGGCCCUUCAGCAGGGCCCGCCUGACUCACUGACCGCACUGGACAGAUGACUCAUUCGCCAGCCUUGACCUCAAUGGGUUUGGCCACCCAUGGAGAGUGAAGUCACACCUCCAGUGCCCUGAAGCAUUCUUCUCAGCCAACUCCAAGGCAGUAAUAUCUUCAUGAUCUGAAGCUCUGUAGGCCAAAGGGCAAAAGGAAGGAAUGUUUCUAACUUGGAGGUAAAAACUACAAAAGUUUCUCAGGCAAAGAGUCUGCGAAUGAAGAAAGUUUAAAAAGCCCUUUGAUAGAGCGAGGCUGGAAGCUGGUGCUGGAGGAGACCCAUGCCAGCUUCUAUCCAAACGUUCCUGCCCUGGAUUGUAAAAAACUGCUGUGGCUUCUCGAGAAUCACCAUCCUCAGGAGAGAGACAAUUGAGCACCUGCUACCCACCAGAGACAGACAUCUGUGUCACCGAAUGCCACCGCCUCCCAGCCGUUACCAGACUGUUCCAUUGACCCUUGGUGGCCACCUGGUGUGAUGACCUCACUCUCCCGAUCAGUGGUUGAUGUGACCCAGGACACAGUCCCUGACGCUAAGUAGGGAUCCAAGUUACUAAGCCUGGUGAGGGACCUGGUCUUCAUCAGCAGGCUCCGAGGCCCAUUUUACAUGACAGCACUGGGUCCCGGCUGAGACAAAGAAGCUGGCUCAUUUAACUGUGUAAGGCAGCUAUGAGAAGCAGAAGGGGGAAAGGGGCAUCUUGGGGCUCAGCAUUCCUGAGGCCAGAUGUGCAAGCCUCCUGAGACCAGCUUGGCCCCAGUUGGGCUACACUCACUGCCUCAGACACUGCUGUCCCCUGUCCCUCCUCCCUCCUUCCUCAGCAUCAAAAAGACUCAGGGGUGCUGGCAGCUGUUCUCCAGCAUCUGGUGGAACAUUCUGCCCUAAAGCUGGGCUUUCCUCCCUCCCCAAGGAGAGCUGGUGACUCAUGUUUCCAUUUUCGAUGCAGAGCCAGGCACUGGAUCUUUCCAUGACCCCAACCAAGGACUGGCGGUGUAGUGCUGGAACAUGAAUUAUGAUGUCAGACCUAUCUGAGUUCAAAUCCCCUCCUUGAUGUCUGUUAGCAAUCUGUGUGAUUUUAAGCAGCCUGUUUACUCUGAUUCCCAUUUGCACAUGAAGACCACAACUGUCAAUCACGGUAUCAUUUUGUUUUAGACAAGGUCUCCACUAUGUAGCCUGAGUAAGCUUCCAGUUCUCUCUGUGUGUAUGGUGUGUGCCUGUACACAGGUAUAUGGGAGAGGGGCAUGUACCAUGAGCACACAUGUGAAGGCCAGAGGACAGCCAAUGUCUCUAUCAAUCUCUGACUUAACCCCUUGAGACACCGUCUGUCAUCAACACUGUCACCAUACUUGGACUAGGUUAGUUGGCUUGUCAACAAGCACCAUCAAUCCUUUGUCACCACGAGUCCCCUCCCCCACUGGGGUUAUACGUGCAUUGUACAAAUGCCUACAAAAGCCCCUGGGGCUUUUAUGUAGGUACUGGGAUCUGAACUCAGGUGCAUACUUGUGCACCCACUUGUCCGUCCAUCUCUCCAGCAGUUUCCAGUGCAAUCCUCCUGCCUCAGCCUCCCUGGCGCUGAGUUCAUAGGCGUGUGCACUGCACCAACCUCUCCUCUAUCGCAACUCUGAGAAUGAGCUGUUUCUUCCAACAGUUUUCUCUUUUGACGACUUCUCAUAAUUCAAGCAAAGAGGAAGUUGAGAGUUUCAUGGCCGCCAUGAACGUUCCCUACCCUGUCACAGAGAGUCAGCUUGGUGGUAUUUUUACCCAUGUGAGCUUUUCAGCAGGUUUAAAGAGGCGGGGCUGAGCUGUGAUGCUCCACAGGUCAAGGGUUAUCAAGUGCAUUUUGACUUAAUAUUUUCUAUUACAUUGUAAAUAGAAUACCCAUGUACCAUUUACUACUGCUACAGUGCUAUUGUGAGCACAACUUGUUCUAAACAUAGGAAACCAAGGCCCAGGCAAGUAAAGUAACUUCUCUGAAGUCACACAGCCAGGAAGUGGCAGAGCUGGGUCAUGGCUGGUCUGUCUGACCUCACAGGCCAACACUAUUCUGAUGCUUAGGACAAUGAGAAAGAUGGAGGAGUGAAGUUGGUCCUGAUGCUGGCCUGGAGUGGAUGCUGUGUUGGAGUUUGCUGCUGUUAUUGCUGCUGUCUUCUCAGUUGUUUCUUGUUAUCAUGCUAGGUCUCCACUUUGCCCAUGAUAAGGAGCCAGUGAGGACACAUGUCCUUCAGGCCAAAGCCACAACAGUUGAGAGAUCUGGGCAGGAGAGUCAAGUGGUUUACCCUAACUGCAUUGCUCUCUACCUGCUGAAUGAAUGCUAUUUUCUGAGGCCUGGGGGUACUGACUUUCCAUCUCUGGGCCUUAAUUACAUGUCUACCAGGAGGAGUGCUCAGACUCAGCCCUAAGGUGGAAACAGGCAGGGAGGGGCUGGGAAGAUCAAGGCCUGGGAAACAUUAUCACCCUGACUGACUGCUCUUUUCAAAAGCAAAGAGCCUGCUCUGGGCCCUAGCCCCAGAAGCCAAUAACUGCUACAGCAGAAGCACACGUGAGACCAAGCCAGACUGGAAGGUUCCAGGGGCACCAUGUAGAGUUAUCGGGAAUUACAAACAGCGUGCAGACAAAGCAAUAUGGACAGGUGCAAGAUACUAAAGCUGGCUGGGGCGGCUCACACCAGGAAUCCUAGCAACCGGGAGGCUGAAGCAGAAGUGUCAUUGAAAACAUGAGGCCAGCCUGGGCUACAGAGUGACUCUGUCAACAAAACAAAACAAAACAAAACAAAACAAAACAAAACAAAGCACUCAGAAAAGCAGAAGUCAGAGCUAAGGCACUAAAGAGAGCUGUGACCACAGCAGUGUCCCCACAUGCAACCCACAGCUGGCUUCCUGUCACUCUGCUCCAGACCUUUUCACCUCACCUAGCUCUGCAGUCCCUCCUGCUCCAACACUUGCCCUUGCCCUGCUCUUGUGGAUGAGCUAGCCUCGCCCAUGUUCAGACCACUGUGCUCUUCCCAGCCUGUUUUCCCAGAGACUCUGACCUUCCUGUCCUCAGGGAGCUCAGAAGCCUGCCUCGCAGAAGAGGGAGAGGGAGAGCAGUGCUCACAUUCGCCAAGGUGUCCCUAUGGGCACACAUUAAAUGUUUAGAGAGCCCUUUGUGUGAAGGCUCUGCCACUUGGGCCCAGAAAGAUGUCAUAAGGGGUCCUGCUCUUCUGGAGCAGUGAGGAAUUUCUGAGUUGAUUCUGAGAAUUCCCUUGCUGGGCUUGGGUCCUCCAGGCCACGCCAGGGACCACUCCACCCAGUGUGCAAUGGAUGUGGCUGUUGCCGAGCACUUCAGAGAGUGGGAGACAAAGCUUCAAGCAACUGUAGAGAAAGGAGAGAAAGGCCCCCAGCCAGGAGUCAGUGUCUGUAGGAUUGAAUCUACUUCCAGAUACAGUGCAGGAGUUGAUGGCAUGGGAGUUACAGUCUAUGGGGUCUCAGCUGAUGCCACAACCCACCUAGUGGCCGUAGGGUCUGCAAAUAGCCACCUUCCAGGUUCUGGUGUUGGAACCUGGGGGCCAGGCUCAACUUCUGAUCCCGACCUCUACUUCUGUGUGACAUUGGCUAGGCUCAGUGUGACAGUCUGUAAAGUGGACAUAAUACUGUCUUCCUAGAGUUCUGGUGUGAACAAACCGAAAUGACUCCAGGGCUGCAUGGCCAUCUGUAUCCUUCAGUCUGUGGUGACAACAGAAUAAACGUUAGGGGGAUGGAGGCGGGUCCCAGGGUGCUGUCGCUGUGGAUGACCCAGAGGGAAGCUGGUGAGGGAAGCUGGCGAUGGGGCUCAGCCUUGAAGGAGAUUGAGUUGCUAUACAAGGAAAUGCAAAAAACGUGAAUCAGUUCAAAAGUAAAAAAAAAAAAGUGAAUGAUUCAGAAGGCAUUCCAGAAUAACAAAUAGAGAUUCCAAGCCAAGUGACUCGGUUCCUCAAAAAGAGGACACAGCUCGGUGAAGCUAGAGCCUUAGUCAGGCGGGGGAGGUGGUUACUGGGAAACUUCACCCUGUUCAGCAUUAUUGAGAAGUUGUGGGUUCCUGGAGCCUUAGUGAUGUUACACAGCCUUGCAGGGUGAAGAUUACCCAAACCCUGGGCCAGAGAGUUGAAAAGGAAGUGUUUAGGGCAGGAUCUAUAUUAGAAGAAACAAACAGAAAAAAAAUGCUCCUUAGAAGACAGAGUGGCCACAAGGGAAAGUGGUCAGAUGUGUUGGAGCAUAUGGGGCAGCCGCGCGGGCCAGCCAACAUCUGCCCCAGGGAGGGAGGACUUGGCACAUCUGGGAAGCAGUGAUGGGUUACUCCCAAGGUCUGGAUCUGAUGCAGUCUUUCUGUCCAUUUUGGAAAAAUUCCUCCCAUUUUUUUCCCCACAUGGUGCAGACAUUCCCGUAGAGCAAGGGAGAGGGAGGCUGUACCCAAACUCUGCCACCUGCUUGCUGUGUGACCACCUGCUUCUCUGUGCCUUUGUCUAUCAUCAACAAAUGGUCACCAUGGUAUCUACUUUGUCAUUAUUGCAGUCGAUGUUAGUCCCAGUGCCUGGUCCCUCUGACGACUUCCUGUUGACCAUUAUUAUAGACUUUAGAAUCAAGUAAUUGAAUGCCCCAUUUGGUGCCCUCCCAGUAGAUAUUACAUCACAACAUCUCCACUUAUGUAUAACACUGUGACAAGCCAGUGUUCUUAGAAAAGACAGAAAAAGCCACAAACACACAAAAUCUCAAAAUACGGGACGAGGGAAGUCCCCCUCUACAAUGACUCUUCUGUAUACCAUGUAUGAAUGUGACCCCUACUACCACCUUACCAAGAUCUGGACUUAGCCAGAUAAGCUAUCUGGGGCUUUUCGGGGAACCAGGACUCUGAGAGGUGCCACCACCCAAGAACAGCUCUGGUUCAUUGUUUCAGGCAAGCUGGGGAGGCCUGGAAACUAGAGGUGGGUUUGAGGGAAGGACAUAUGAAGUUGAGGAAGUAGAUGUGAGGCUGGGGAGUGGCUGCUGCCUCUCUGAGGGACUGAAAUGCAAUCUUUCUGCCCAAGGCAUCAAGUCAUAGCUCAGUCUGGCCCUCUUGUUAUCUUUGACAGGCAAUUCCUCGAUUAUCCAUGAAUUUUCUCCUCUUUCCCCAGCUGUGAACAGACUUCCAGAAAGAAGGCAAGUUCAAGGUCAGAGAAAGGGGAGAUUUGAGCUUCAAACAGAGGCUGGUGUGGCCCCAGCUUUGAGUUCACUUCCUGUUUUGUGGGGACUGAGUGGGUCCCUCUUCUAGCGCUGAACGUUCUGUUCCCUUUCUCAACACAGAGCGUACAGGUCCAGCCUCCUGACCAGUGCUCAUCUAGUGCGAAAGUGGACCCAGCUGUACCCCAAGAUGUCAGUUCACCCUAAGCUGCCUUGGGGAUUCCACCAAGUGUUUAGAGAAGUAGAGACUGCCCUGAGUCACAGGCCCUAGAGAAUUUGACUCUUUCUAGGCAAGAAGAGCCUUUGGACACGUUAUAGUGUAGGUGGGUCUCGAUCCCUUCCGUCUCAGAAGCUUCUUCUCCUGUCCAUCGUGCGGUGUGUGAGAUCUGUCAUGCUCCCUCUGGCCGAGGAAGAAGCAGCCAUCUGAGGGCAGGUCUCCACCCUCCAUUCUGUGGCCACAGCUAAGAGUCUGAACAUUUGACCUCAAAUCAGUGGGCUAGGCUACUGUCCCCCCACCCCCAGGCCUUCCUCGGGCUCAGAGAAGAGGAACAAGAACACUUUUACAGAAUUGCCAGGAUCUGGAUCAGAGCCUCGAUCCAGCCCUCAGACUGGCAUUAUUUGAAUAGAACAGAGCCUUUCAGAGGUAGGGCAUUCUGAGAGGUCCUCUGCUGUCCGUGGGAGGGGGCUGUGCUCCUGAAGGUGAUGCUGGGGCCUCAGCCAUUUUCUUUCCUCCUUUGGUUUCCUACUACUGUGAGGUGGACAGCUGUGCCCCCAUCAUGCACCUCUGCCAUGAUAUGCUGUGUCACUAUCAUGUGUGGACUAGGAUCUCAGCAAGCCUUUCCUUGUUAGCAAGGUCUUAUACACUCCACAUAUGCUGUCACCCUCAUGGGCUUCCAGGCCACACUCUGAACAAUUGAAACAGAGACGAGAGACUGUAAGUCUAAUCCCUUGGGCAGAUGGGGGAUUCACACAACAAAGAUGCUGCCAGAAUUAUUUCUUGCGUACAUUGGUGUUGCUCCUUUUUGAACAGUUGUUACCCAGGUUCCUCUUGCCCACCUGGCAGGAUUACAACUUUUCUUAUAAGUGGACAGGGGAUUUAAUGACAGACCAGGACUUACUGGUGAUUGGAACCUGGUAAUGUCCCCUUGACCUGCCCCUUAGAGACAUAUUCUUUGAUAUAGGGAUGGGGCUAAUGACUGACUAUCUAAGUCUUCAUUGUCCCUUUUGUCAUGGGAACUGAGACCAACUGGAGGUCCAUCUCGGUGAAGAACACAUCAGCACAGACUCUCAGCAACCCUACAUUACGUUACACAAGUUUCUUUCUGACAGAUUCCAACAAGCCUGGUGAGUGCACACUGCUGCCUUCCAGUCAUGUUGGAGGCAGCGCUCUUUUAGCUAAAUUCUGGUUGGGUAACAUUAUUUCUUAAGCAAAUUAGUAAAUCCUUUAGAGCGUCAAUUUUACUACUUCAGGUUUCUCCUGUGCCAGUACAAAGGCUUUAAGAUACACUGUUUCCAGCACUUACUUCCUGGUUGUACUCACUUCCUCAAUCCGAGCUAAAAAGCUACGUCAUCCCGUCAUCCACUCAGCUUAUGUCACCACUUGCCCCACCCUGCCCCUCCCGUCCACAUCACCAACUCCUAAUCCGAGCAGUUCAGCUUUAGGUGAAAAGAGCCACACUUUCUCUCCCUCAGGCUGCUUCUUUGACCUUUGCCCUUUCCCUGUCCUAUUUCAUACCCUCUGGUUCACUUCCACGAACUGGAAUCAGUGGGUCUGUGCUCCCCCUACACCCCCCGCACCACCCCUGGGGCCAUUUGAAUGUUAAGCUAAGUCAGGUUUUAUACUUUGGUGACAGAAGCAAGGAGGUGAGAUUAUCCAGUGAUUCCCGGGAGCCAGAGGCUUGAAUUCAGAUCCAGCUCUGUACUUCCUGGCUGAGGUAUUGCUGAUACGAGUCAUUUUACUUCCCCGAGCCUCGGGGUCCUUACCGUCAAAAGCGUGGUUCUCGCUCAGCAAUUCUGUGCUGUAAAUUGCUGACGUGUAUAACCCACGGAGUGGGAGCCAAGGCCUGAUAUAGUAAUUAGCCAAGCCAGUUCAUGCGGAACCUAGAGAAGCAAAGCCUCGACUUUAGGCUUCACCCUUCAGGCACCGGGAAGUCAAAGAAGGCUUUUUACCUCAGCAUCAUCAGAUGGUAGAAUUGAGGUGGAAGAGUUGCUCAAGAGACAAGCUGGGCUGGCCGCAGCAGCCAUCUUCCAGUAACUCACCAAAAUGACGAACACAAAGGGAAAGAGGAGAGACACUCAGUGUAUGUUCUCUAGGCCUUUUAGGAAACAUGGAGUUGUUCCUUUGGUCACAUACAUGCGACUCUACAAGAAGGGUGAUAUUGUAGACAUCAAGGGAAUGGACACCAUUCAAAAAGGAAUGCCCCAUGAGUGUUACCAUGGCAAAACCGGAAGAGUCUACAAUGUCACCCAGCAUGCAGUGGGCAUCAUGGUGAACAAGCAUGUCAAGGAAGGGCAAGAUGCUGGCCAAGAGGACCAAUGUGGGGACUGAGCACAUCAAGCACUCGAAGAGCAGAGACAGCUUCCUGAAGUGGGUAAAGGAGAAUGGUCAGAAGAAAAAGGAAGCCAAAGAGAAGGGUACCUGGGUUCUGCUGAAGCGCCAGCCUGCGCUGCCCAGAGGAGCCCCCUUUGUGAGGACUAACGGAAAGGAGCCAGAGCUGCUGAGGCCCAUGCCAUACGGAUUCACGGCUAAUGGACAAAAAGAAAUAAAGGACCCGACUGAAAAAGGAAGAGACAGAGACAGAGAGAGAGAG
Molecule: small RNA, 8390 nt
Filed under: Rattus norvegicus (Norway rat)
Lineage: Eukaryota; Metazoa; Chordata; Mammalia; Rodentia; Muridae
Description: uncharacterized LOC102552476
Source: RNAcentral